Molecule: RNA transcript, 3747 nt
Organism: Hippoglossus stenolepis (Pacific halibut)
Lineage: Eukaryota; Metazoa; Chordata; Actinopteri; Pleuronectiformes; Pleuronectidae
Gene: gdpd5b
Gene name: glycerophosphodiester phosphodiesterase domain containing 5b
Exons: 18
Source: RefSeq, a predicted model, not a curated record
CGCACUCACUCGCUGCACCCACCCACCCACCCCCAGCGUGUCAGCCCGCCGGUGUGUGCUCAUGACACUGCCACACACACCAGGAGACACGCUUGUACCCGCAGACAGCACCGACAGAGGGAAACCGACACGGGACGAAGUGGAGACAUGAGACGGGACUUCUCGUAGCUGACAACCGUUCGCCCGGCUCCGUCUCCCCUCCUUUGUGUUCGGUGUAAAACUUCGACCCUGUCAGCAGCUUUAUAGCUCGACCGGUGAGCUGCUCACCUCCAGCCCGUCACUUCCCACACGGGUUGUCCCGGUUUGACUCUCUGCUCGCCGGGGAGAAAGUCAGGGAAAAGCCGCUGACACCUUAAGCUGAGGCAGGAGAGAAGUGGCAGCAGCCCGCACACAGGGUUCUUAAUAGUCAGUGGGAUGUUAGAGGUCUGGAAGCAGGACCAGGACUGACUGAAGGAGCAUGGUGAAACACCAACCCCUCCAGGUCUAUGAGCGGCAGCUUUGUCUGUCAUGUAUCACUGGGAUCUAUGGUUGCCGCUGGAAACGCUAUCAACGUUCCCACGAUGACACCACCAAGUGGGAGCUGCUGUGGUCACUCAUCCUCCUUCUCACGUUCUGUCUGCUGCUGGUCUGGUGCUACUUUUGGUGGGAGGCACAUAAUGACUACAAUGAAUUCAACUGGUUCCUCUACAACCGCUCUGGGGAGUGGAGUGAUGGCACUGUUCCCAUCCUGGCAACUACCGCUGCUGGCUUCACCUACAUUGCAUUUUUAAUGAUUUUAGCACUUUGCCACGUUGCACUUGGACAACAGUUAAAUUUGCACUGGCUCCAUAAGGUUGGCGUGUCUGUUGCUCUGCUCACCACCGUCGCUGGGGUGAUAUCUAUCAAUCAAACAUGGGGGCAAGAGUGGGACAUCAUCCCCAUCUCCCUGCAGGCGACAGGUCCGUUCCUGCACAUAGGGGCUCUUGCUGCUGUCACAGCACUGUCUUGGAUUGUGGCUGGACAGGUCGCCCGUGCAGAGAAAACAAUGUUCCAGGUGGUCGUCAUGCUGCUGUAUCUCAGUUUGUUACUGGGACUCUAUGUGAUGCCCAUCUACAUCACCUCCCCCUGCAUCAUGGAACACGCCUCUCUCAAACCCCGUCCUGACGUUAUUGGUCUUCGGGGAGCCCCCAUGCUGGCUCCAGAGAACACACUGUGGUCCUUCCAGCGAGCUUUGCAGAUGAACGUCACUGGGUUGGAAGCUGAUGUGGCUAUCAGUGUGGACGGAGUGCCUUUCCUGAUGCACGACCGCACGCUGCGGAGGACCACAGACAUAGAGAAGGUUUUCCCAGAGAGGCAGAUGGAUGAAGCCGCACUCUUUAACUGGACAGAUCUGCAGCAGCUCAAUGCCGGACAGUGGUUCCUUAAGGAUGACCCCUUCUGGACGGUGCACAUGCUGUCCCCGCAUGAGAAGACUCUGAUUGCCAACCAGAGUGUGUGCAGCCUGGAGAAGCUUCUAAAGCUGUCCUCCUACCAUAACAGCACAGUGGUUUUCAGGCUCAGGAGACCACCUCUGGAACACCCCUUGUACCACAGCUGGAUCAACGACACACUGCAUGCUGUGCAGCAGUCUGGGGUUCCUCAGAACCUGGUGAUGUGGACUCCAGAUGAGCACAGAGCUCAGGUGAGAGAGCUGGCUCCUGGUCUGAUCCAGACUUCAGUGGAGAAACAGAGUCCUCAAAGUCUCAAUCAGUCGGGCAUCAGCAGGCUGCUGCUCAGAUACAACCAGGCCAGCACACGGGAAAUCAGUGACUUCUCUGAGAGCUACAUCAACCUCACCCUCUACACUGUCAACGAGCCCUGGCUGUUCUCGGUGCUCUGGUGCAGCGGGGUGUCAUCGGUUUCUUCAGAGGCUCCGCACAUCCUCAAAAGGGUGCUUUACCCCAUCGGGCGCAUGAGACCACAGGAUUACUGCCUGAUGUGGGUGACUGCAGACCUCAUCUCCUUUGCUGUAGUUGUAGGAAUAUUCAUUUUCCAGAACUAUCACAUGAUCAGGUAUCGGAUGAGUGGUAUGCGCAGCUACAACCCUGAGCAGAUCAUGCUGAGUGCUGCCGUCAGGAGGUCCAGUCGAGACAUAAGCGUCAUGAAGGAGAAACUUAUCUUUUCAGGUCAGCCCCAGUAAAGCCGCCUGCCUCCUCCAUCCUUCGUGUGUGAUGUGCACCACCUCCUGUCCAUCCUACCUCCUCUCCAUCUCUUCACCAGCAGUGAUUCUUCCAUUUUUAUUCCAUGCAUCCAUUGCAUCCCUCGUUACCUGCCACCUCUAUGCCUAUUAUGCCCUUUCCAACCAUUCAUCCAUCGCUUCACGCACCUUGUGAUCUCCCCAUCAUUCCUCCCAGUGGAGACGUCGUUCUGUGUAGGGGAGUUUAUAGACACCCUGUUCUGUCUAGACAGCCUGUAGUGCUGGGGGUGAAAGAGGUGGGAAACGGAGUUGGCAGUGCUGAGGAGCUGUAUGCGGACAAUGACUGCGACUACUACACCAAUCAGGGCAUCAGCCAGUGAUUGAAACUGAGCCCUGUGUGGAUCUGCUGUGGCGUGAUGGAGACAACAACACUCUGUGUUCAAAUCAUUACUGUUUUUAUUCAAUGUGAGGUCUCCCCUCUGUCCUACUGAUGAACUGACAGAUAUGCUGUAUAGGAGAAAACAACCACCCAGUUAUGUGUACAUUCUGUAAAUAAGUUUUUUUUUUUGCUUGUCAGAUUUACUGUUUAUCACAUAGGACGAUACUUUUUAUUAAAAGAAUUCGCCAAAUCCGAGGCCGAGAGGCCCCCCAGGCUACCAUCGCCUGCUUCUCUUCAAAACUUUGUUUCCAGAUUCUUUAUUUUAAGCAGUUUAUUGCUGCGAGCAAUGUAAAUGAUAUUGUUCUCUUUGUAGAUUAAUUUAUUUUUAAACAAGGAUUUUUAAAAUCCUUUAUUGCCGCAUGAGACAAAAAGCUUCAUCCCUCGUUAUGCUCCUGCCUUCUGUCACCACUCUGCUGUGCUGCUGUUCAUAAUGGACCGAAUAUUACUAUUUAUAUUUAAAGAGAAGAAGAAAAGAACACAGACAAUUUGUUUACAGAGAUCCUGCCUUCUCCAGGUGACGUAUGUAAGAUGAUUCCUUUGAUCGAGGCUGAAUGAAAAGCGCCGCCCUCUGAUCAGUGCAUGUUACAGUAACCAUCAUAUCAGACUUGUGUGAGCUGUGCUUCCCCUGUUUUACAGGAGGACCUGGUGAAAAUGGUUUGGGGUGGAGAUAUUUGAUGUCUUUUAGUGGUUAAUGUGAAUGUGUUACGAAUAAUACCUUCUUUUUUUUUUUAAAAGAUGUGUAUUGAGUGUGUCCUGACUGGAUAUGUAUUUUUUUUACCCUGUGUGCAGUGCUGUGUUGAGUGUGUUGUUGUACAGGAAAAGUGAACCAAUGUUAGAGAUGCUCCAGCCGACUACACGUUACAUUUUAACAAUGUGACAGUUUAAUAUUACGGCAGGAAUAGUCAUUUCACUUCACACACGUUCUCUGGGCUGCAGUAGAGUGUGUGUCGUGCUGAGGAACUUCUCACUGUUGGUGUCUGGAUGCUGAAUGCUGUAAUGUAAAUGAAGUGGGUACUAAAUGUGAAAGUGAAGCUCCAAGCUCGCAGAAGGGACACGGCUUCAGGUGUCACAGGGUCAAGACAUUGGUUGCCUUUUGUGUUGACUUCUUUUCUGUGCCUCAGAAUUAAACAUUAAAACAUUUUAAAAUACAAGA